CCUGAAGCGCCCGCGAUGGCGAGCCCGCCGGAGCACGGGCCCCCCGGGCCGGCGGGCGGGGACGGCCCCAACCUCAACAACAACAACAACAACAACAACCACAGCGUGCGCAAGUGCGGCUACCUGCGCAAGCAGAAGCACGGCCACAAGCGCUUCUUCGUGCUGCGCGGGCCCGGCGCGGGCGGCGACGAGGCGGGCGCGGGCGGGGGCCCGGCGCCGCAGCCGCCGCGGCUCGAGUACUACGAGAGCGAGAAGAAGUGGCGGAGCAAGGCGGGCGCCCCGAAGCGGGUCAUCGCGCUCGACUGCUGCCUGAACAUCAACAAGCGCGCCGACGCCAAGCACAAGUACCUGAUCGCCCUCUACACCAAGGACGAGUACUUCGCCGUGGCGGCCGACAACGAGCAGGAGCAGGAGGGCUGGUACCGCGCGCUCACCGACCUGGUCAGCGAGGGCCGCGCGGGCGCCGGCGACGCGCCCCCCGCCGCCGCCGCCGCCGCCGCCGCCUCCGGGUCCUGCAGCGCCUCCCUGCCCGGCGCCCUGGGCGGCUCGGCGGGCGCCGCCGCGGCCGAUGACAGCUACGGGCUGGUGGCGCCCGCCACGGCCGCCUACCGCGAGGUGUGGCAGGUGAACCUGAAGCCCAAGGGCCUGGGCCAGAGCAAGAACCUGACGGGCGUGUACCGCCUGUGCCUGUCGGCGCGCACCAUCGGCUUCGUGAAGCUCAACUGCGAGCAGCCGUCGGUGACGCUGCAGCUCAUGAGCAUCCGCCGCUGCGGCCACUCGGACAGCUUCUUCUUCAUCGAGGUGGGCCGCUCGGCCGUCACGGGCCCCGGCGAGCUGUGGAUGCAGGCGGACGACUCGGUGGUGGCGCAGAACAUCCACGAGACCAUCCUGGAGGCCAUGAAGGCGCUCAAGGAGCUCUUCGAGUUCCGGCCGCGCAGCAAGAGCCAGUCGUCCGGCUCGUCGGCCACGCACCCCAUCAGCGUGCCCGGCGCGCGCCGCCAUCACCACUUGGUCAACCUGCCCCCGAGCCAGACGGGGCUGGUGCGCCGCUCGCGCACCGACAGCCUGGCAGCCACCCCGCCCGCCGCCAAGUGCAGCGCGUGCCGGGUGCGCACGGCCAGCGAGGGCGACGGCGGCGCGGCGGCGGCGGCGGCGGCUGCGGCGGCGGCGGGGGCCGGGGCGGGGUCCGGGGCGGCGGCGGCGGCGGCGGGCGGCAGGCCGGUGUCGGUGGCGGGCAGCCCCCUGAGCCCGGGCCCGGUGCGCGCGCCACUGAGCCGCUCGCACACGCUGAGCGGCGGCCGCGCGGGCAAGGCGGCGCUGGCGCCGGCAGGGGGCGGCCUGCAGCACAGCCGCUCCAUGUCCAUGCCAGUGGCGCACUCGCCCCCGGCGGCCACCAGCCCCGGCAGCCUGUCGUCCAGCAGCGGGCACGGCUCGGGCUCCUACCCGCCGCCCCCCGGCCCGCACCCGCACCUGCAGCACCCCCUGCACCCCCAGCGCCCCUCCAGCGGCAGCGCCUCGGCCUCGGGCUCCCCCAGCGACCCCGGCUUCAUGUCCUUGGACGAGUAUGGCUCCAGCCCCGGGGACCUGAGGGUCUACUGCGGCCACCGGAGCAACACGCCCGAGUCCAUCGCCGAGACGCCCCCGGCGCGGGAUGGCAGCGCGGGUGAGCUGUACGGCUACAUGACCAUGGAGCGGCCGCUGAGCCACUGCGGCGGCCGCGCCUACCGCAGGGUCUCCGGGGACGGCGCCCCGGACUUGGACCGAGGGCUGAGGAAGCGGACUUACUCGCUGACCACGCCUGCCCGGCAGCGGCCGGCGCCCCAGCCGUCCUCCGCGUCCCUGGACGAGUACACGCUGAUGCGGGCCACCUUCUCGGGCAGCUCCGGCCGCCUGUGCCCGUCCUGCAGCGCGUCCUCUCCCAAGGUGGCCUACCACCCGUACCCCGAGGACUACGGCGACGUCGAGAUCGGCUCGCACCGCAGCUCUAGCAGUAACCUGGGCGCGGACGACGGCUACGUGCCCAUGACCCCCGGCGUGGCCCUCCUGGGGGCGGGCAGCGGGAGCUGCAAGAGCGACGACUACAUGCCCAUGAGCCCCACCAGCGUGUCGGCCCCGAAGCAGAUCCUGCAGCCACGCCCCGGGCCCGCCGCCUUGCCCCCUGCGGGGCCAGCGGUGCCCACGCCCGCGUCGGCAGCCGGCAGGGCCUUCCCGGGCACCGCGGGCGGCUACAAGACCGGCUCCCCGGCCGAGAGCUCCCCCGAGGACAGCGGGUACAUGCGCAUGUGGUGCGGUUCCAAGCUGUCCAUGGAGAGCGCCGACAGCAAGCUGCUGCCCAACGGGGACUACCUCAACAUGUCCCCCAGCGACGCGGGCACCGCGGGCACCCCGCCCGACUUCUUCUCUGCUGCGGGGGAGACUCUGCGGGGCGUGCCCGGCUACUGCUACAGCUCCCUGCCCCGCUCCUACAAGGCCCCCCACGCCUGCCACGGCGACAGCGACCAGUACGUGCUCAUGAGCUCGCCCGUGGGCCGGGUCUUGGAGGAGGAGCAGCUGGAGCCGGCCCCCGGCCCCGCGCAGGCGUCCAGUGCCUUCCCGGCCGCGGCGGCUGGCAGCGGCCACCCCCAGCCACCCCUCCCCGCCGUGCCUUCGCCUGGGAGGCCAGGCGGUGGCGGAGGUAGCCGCCCCGACGGCUUCCUGGCUCAGCGCUGCCGGGCAGUGCGGCCCACGCGCCUGUCUCUGGAGGGUCUGCCGGCCCUGCCCCGCAUGCACGAAUACCCGCUGCCCCCCGAACCCAGGAGUCCAGGCGAGUACAUCAACAUCGACUUCGGGGAGGCCGGCGCGCGCCUGUCGCCGCCCGCGCCCCCGCUCCUGGCCUCGGCCGCCUCCUCAUCGUCGCUGCUGUCCGCCAGCAGCCCGGCCUCGUCCCUGGGCUCCGGCACCCCGGGCACGAGCGGGGACAGCCGGCAGCGCUCCCCGCUCUCCGACUACAUGAACCUCGACUUCAGCUCGCCCAAGUCGCCGCAGCCGGGCGCCCAGGGCCGGGACCCCGUGGGCUCCUUGGACGCUCUGCUGUCCCCAGAGGCCUCCGUGUACCCGCCGCUGCCCCCUCGCCCGGCCGCCCCCUCCUCGGCCCUGCAGCCGCCGCCCCUGCCGCCCCCGCCGGGCGAGCUGUACCGCCUGCCUGCGGCAACCACCUCCCAGGGCCCAGGCGCGGCCGCCUCCUCGUCCUCGGGCACGGGGGACAACGGUGACUACACCGAGAUGGCCUUCGGCGUGGCCGCCACCCCGCCGCAACCGAUCGCGGCGCCCCCGAAGCCCGACGGUGCCCGGGUGAGCAGCCCCGUGUCCGGCCUCAAGAGGCUGAGCCUCAUGGAUCAGGUGUCGGGGGUCGAGGCCUUCCUGCAGGCCGGCCAGCCCCCAGACCCGCACCGAGGGGCCAAGGUCAUCCGCGCGGACCCUCAGGGGGGCCGCCGCCGCCACAGCUCCGAGACCUUCUCUUCGACCACCACUGUGACCCCCGUGUCCCCGUCCUUUGCUCACACCCCCAAGCGUCACAACUCGGCCUCGGUGGAGAACGUUUCUCUCAGGAAAGGCAGCGAAGGGGGCUGCGGCGGCGGCCUGGGUGGGGGCGACGAGCCCCCCUCGUCGCCGCGCCAGCCCUCGCCGACGCCGCAGCAGGCGCGGGCCUGGACGCCGGCUCAGCCCGGCUGCAGCCUGGUCGGCUGUCCCGGGGGCAACAGUUCGCCCAUGCGCCGGGAGACGUCCGCCGGCUUCCAGAAUGGCCUCAACUACAUCGCCAUCGACGUGAGGGACGAGCCGGGGCUGUCACCGCCCCUGCAGCAGCACCCACACGGGCAGACGGGCGACAGGAGCGCCUGGGGCCGCACCCGGAGCCUCGGGGGUCUCAUCAGCGCCGUGGGCGCUGCCAGCCCCGCCGGGGUGUGCGGGGGGCCAGGCCCCGGUGCCCUGCCCGCGGCCAACGCCUACGCCAGCAUCGACUUCUUGACGCAUCACCUGAAAGAGGCCACGGUGGUGAAAGAGCACAUUUCCCCGAUUUAUUUCUGAAAACUUCUCGACCCACCGCUCACCACAUUUUCCACCACGGUGCGUGGAAUCUGGAAGGCCUGCUUGGUGGUGGUGUGACGUGUGUCCAGGUCCCCUCCUGAGGAUCCUGGGUCAGGAUUCCUGGCAGAGCACAUGCAGGAGGAUCGCCCUGUGUCUGCAGAGGGCAGUGCACCUGUGAAAGAGGUCCUUGCUUCCCUGCCGGGAAACAGCCGUCCUGUGACUCCCAUUCCGGCGGGAACCGCCUUCCUCAUCCUCCCACGAGCCUCCCGGAGGCGCCGCUCAAGAGCAGAAUUGGGAAGAAGGCUGAAAGAGUGAAGACCUAUCCAGCUUCACCCCCGUGACGACACGCAUCACAGAAAACCAUGGGAAGAAGAUGCUCAGCAUUUUUUUAAAAACACAUCGGAAGCUGCUUGCCAUUUCCUUUUGGAUCUGAGCGACUGUCGUGUGUGGACGCACCUGUGACCCAGUCAGACGCAGACGUGCCCGUCUGCCCCGGUCUCCGGGGCAGGGGGUGGUGCAGUCCUCCUCUCGCGGUUUGUGUUUUGGUUUUCAACAUGAGUGGAAGGAGUGACUCACGAGAAGAUCGGACAGUCUUGGUCGUGGCCAGUGUCUCUCUAUCUCUCCUCGCCCUCGUUUUGACGCAGCAGAUGUAUCCCGCAGCAUGCUAGGAGAUUCUCCCAGCUCGCGUUCAAGUGGUAAAAUCUGGUGUUUACGGACAUCCGCUCAAAACUACCACCGUCCUACCUCAGUUCCAGGUGAAGCCGGGUCGGCGUGGUGGGGGGGGGAGUCCCCCUCUGCUGGCUGAGUCUCCAGCGCGGUCAUCUGCCUUAUCCCCCAGCCCCGGACACAGCUGCUCAUCCAAGUCCAGCCCAGGGACCUAUGUGUUUACUCCCACACAGAGCCCCCGCGUGGGACUGACAUCUCUCCACGGAGAUGCAACUCGAGAUUGGACUCUGAAGAUGGAUGGAUAAAUAAUAAUUAUUAUAUGUAACGAAAGCAAGCUACUUUUGCAAAUCAUCAACUGUAUGGGGUGGGGGAGGGUGGGAGGGGCGGGGUCUGGGAAGGCCGGGGUUGGGUGUGGGUUGAGUAUCUCUUUUUACCUUUAAGAGACUUGUUCAAGCUUCUCUCUGUAGAUGUUUAUGUAGGCACUUCAGAUUGCAGACGCCUUUGAUCCUAUUGACAAGCUCAAAUGUCUCUGCCGUCCUUAACCUUGAGCUUGCAUUUCUCUAACCAAAAAUUCACGUAGGCAUGCGAGCCGUUCCAAGACAGGGGUCAAGGGUUGGGCAGGUCUCUUCUAAAAUGUAUUAUCUUGAUGACGACGCACUCGUGUCGGGCCAUGAGGCUGCCCCAAACAGCGACGACAAAGACACAGAGAGACAGGAAAACGGAAAAGGACCUGAUAAAGAAGGCAUCCUGGGACACAGGGGAAGCAAAGCAAUCUCACAGUGCACGUCACUUGUCAGAGAAGUUCCCGACGAGGGGACCCCUCUUCGUGUGUUCUCAGUGUUCUGGAAAUAUCAGUGUUGUGGCGAUCACCGAGGGAGUCCCUAGAAGCCACCGCCCUUGACCUGCAGAGUGUCAGCUCACCUCUGCGCUCCCUUGACACGCGGGCGAGGGGGGCUCUAGGCGCCCCCACUCCCACGGGCCCAUCCUCAGUGCCUCUCUGAGAGUCCUAUAGACGUUACGCAAAUUCGUUGGAGAUACGAGUUGGGUUUUUUUUUGGGGGUGGGGUGGGAUGGUAGGGGGAGAAAAAAAUAUAUAUAAAUAUAUAGAUAUAUAUCAGUAUAGAAUAAUGCAUUCAUAAAAUGAGGCUUUUCUAGAGGAAGACCAAAAAGAUUCGAUGUCUUAAACCUAUAUUUAAUCGCAAUGCAAGCGUCUUUCUCCUUCUACGCUGACCUUUCGGAACAGAGGAUUGUAUCGCAAGACAAAGUUGAAUGUAAAGUGACCUCCCUGAGAGCUUCUCAAGUUUCACUUCUGGAAUCACGCACCACAGCCGUGCACAGACCAUCUGAUGUUGGUUUGAAGGUCAUGUUCAGUGUGUAUAUAGAGAGACUUUAUGAAAAAGAUGUAUAAAGUGUCCUAAAGGUUUGGUUUAGUUCUGGGAUGCGGGAUGGAUGGAGUUGCUAUGGAAACCGCCCCUCCCUGCAGGACUGGACAUGGACCCUGCUGGAUGCAGCGUCAGACUCCCCUUCCCUCACGUGGUCCUGCCACCCUCCCCGUGGUCAUGUUCCUCCUGCCGCUUCAAACGAGCGACAUAAAAAAGUUGAUAAUAUACUAAAUUUUCUUCUAUCUUGUACAUUUCAAAAAAGAAAAAAAAAAAAGGCAUAUGCAAUAUUUACAUUUUUAAUUUAGUUUACAGAAUGGAACCAAAAUGUAUAAAUGUUAUGUUUGUUAAAACUUCACAAUGUAUAUUGGGUCUUUGUACAUUUUGCCUGACUUACCUUAAAGUUAAAAUAUUUUUUGCUAUAUAAACUUUAACAGUUAUUAAACAGUGUUUUCUUUUGGGGGGAUACGUAUUGUUUCUGGAGAUCAAGAUGUUAAAUAUAUUUCUCGCUGUCGUGACAUGACGAAAGACUGACUUCUCCUGCUGUCUUCCACUGUCUCCGCUGUACAGAAGGACCGACAUGGCACUGCUGGGAACCAGACUCCACGGAACUAGACUAGUGCAUUGUAUUUAGUCUGUAUUGAUCAUGGAUGCUCUCCUUAAUAGCCAUAUGCAAUACAAUAAAAUACAUUAUUUAUGAAAUGAA
Molecule: RNA transcript, 6815 nt
Organism: Dama dama (fallow deer)
Lineage: Eukaryota; Metazoa; Chordata; Mammalia; Artiodactyla; Cervidae
Gene: IRS2
Gene name: insulin receptor substrate 2
Exons: 5
Source: RefSeq, a predicted model, not a curated record